CGAUCAUCUGUUCUGUCGAAGUCGUUUAUUUACGACGUAACGGUCGUGUUAUGAAUCGACUAAGAAAUACAUGAUUAUAUGGAGAUUUCAUUGUAUUCGGGUCUAUGCGAAUUUUGAAAUUUUAUUAGCUUCGUUGAAUCGUAUUUCAUUUACGUAGAUUUGUUUAAUGAUAUUAUUUAUUUAUUCGUAAUAUAUCGAUACACUUAUAAGUCAAAAUGACUUUAUAUCUGAAUAGGAGACAGGGGCAGGUUAAUGCCUUAUCUCACUUUAUAAUCUUUGCAAUUUUUACCCUCUAUCGCUUAAUGGGAAAUAUACUAAAGUAUACUUUGUUUUUUCCUCUUUAUGUAUUAUAAAUGAAAAUUUGAAAAAAUAGAACACAGCGUGAGUAAGUAAAGUUGUUAAGUUGAUACAUUUGUGAAAUACGUUGGUAUGAUGUUUGAUAAUUAUUUUCGUCGAUUAAGGCGUAUCUACUAUUUUAGUUCUAUUGAUUAUUCAUUAGACAGUCGAUAUAGGUACGGAUGUUUCCUGUAUUUAUGUAUUUAAUUUCGGCAAUGAUAAUUGCAAUAUUGAUAUAUGUUAAUUUUGUAUAUUUUUAAACGAAACUUAAAAGAUUUGAAAUAGAAUUAUUGAAAGAGUAAAAGGUUUCAGCAGAAUUUUAAAAGAUUCGCAUAGAUCUGAUUUUACAAACAUCCAAAGGGCACGUACUAGUUAACGCGUAAAGUCGAAGGUCAUUUUCUGCAUGCAAGGCAGAUAAAAUCAAAUAGCAUUCAAGAAUAACUACUCGGUAAUUACUUCAUUAAGGUUGUGCUUCCUGGCGAAAUAAGAAUCAGUUAUAAAUAAUAUUAUUACUUAAUAUUUAUCAAAUUAAAUAAUAUUCUGACUAAUAUUAUAAGCUGUGGAACCCAAUUUUUACAAUAACAGAUUUCUAUUUUUUAAACAGCCUCACUUAUAAGGUUUGAACGUAACGUAAGAUUACUUUAAUUUAUAUAACACGAGUGCAUAUUAAGUAUCAAAGACAACAAUCAAAGACAUCAGUCUCUUCUUAAAGAAACGUAAGUUUAUCUGUUUUAACAUAAUUGUGCAGUGUCAGUUAUUUAUUUUUUCGAAGAAAAUAACAUGUCGAGCGAUGGUUUGCGCCGAACCGCUACACUUUAUUGCUUCAUUUAUAUAUAUAUUUAUAUAUAUAUACUUGAGCUUAAGUAUUUUUAGCGAAGUACAACUCGAAGAACAGAAAAAAUUGUAUCAUCGAGUAUUGAUAGUUUCUAUCUGUCCCCGCUUUGCUUCUAGAAAAUGACGCGCGCUUUAAAAUGUUAACCAGUAUGGGUCUACCAAAAUUGGAAAACAAAAUACAUACUCCGCAACACGUGCAUGAUAAUAAUUUCUACAACAUACCAAUGUUGAUGAUUACGAUCUAGCGUAUUCAAAAUUUGAGAUAACAUCUAUACUCUAGGGAGAAAGAUGUUAAAACAUUUGUAAAAAAUUAUGCUGAAAUUUUUCAUUUCGAAGUUCAAACUUUGUCAUUAUAUGUUUUGUUGGUGUAAGCAAGAAAAAUUUGUAUAUAAAUGAAAAAUCGUAAAAUUAAUAAACGUACGAAUCUUCAUUAAAAUACUGUAGAAAUAUUAAAGGAAUCGUGAUUAGGACUAAAUUCUGUUAAAUAACUAAUAGACUUAUGGUUAUUCUAAUAUCAAACUGGAAUAGAUCCACGACAUAACCAGUGGUUAAGUAGUCGUUUCACUGUUUCUGUGAAUGCAAAAAUGACAGCGAUGAAAUAUUAACGCUACGUAUUAGUCGACGUUUAAUAGUUACUUGUUUGACUAUAGUAUUUUUCUUAUUUUAUUAGAUAUGUAAAACAUCGACAAAGUUUGACUGUAGAAAGCCGGGGUACCGUUUGCAAAUAUUUGGGCACGUUCAUAUUGAACAAAUUUAUAAAAUAUAUCUUAAAAAAAAUUCGUUGAUCCAGUAUUAGCCUAUGAUAUUUAACAACUAUAUACAGCUGAUAGAUAUUAAUGAAAAAACUGGAUAAUGUUAAUUAGUAUAAAUAAAAGAGUAAUAACUGAACUUAGACGAAGAUUGAUCCUAUGUAGACACAUGCAUUUAACGAGUUUAAGUGACUAUUUAAUAUUAGAUGUUUUAGAGUGAUUGAAAUAUACAUUUCUAGUCGCAUAGAAGUGUCAAUUAUUUAUUAUAUAUAAACAUGAAGUUUUAAAGGAAGACACGCUGUUUUCAUUUAAAUUUAUUAAAAAAUAAAUGUUGUGUCAAAAAGUAAAAUGUUAUCAGCAAAGAGAUGAUUUUGCAUUCAAACUUCAACAACUAUAACGAAACAAUCUUUUAAUUGAAUUAUACAAGAUGUCCAAAUAUUUAUGGACGGUCGUGUAAAAGUAUUUCAUCGUACGGUUUAAAUAUUUCUUUUUAUAAACUUGUCAAUGCGUUCAAUAGUCAUCUCGAACGAAUUAUUUUCGUAGCACGAUUGCGAGAGUAAGCAAAAGCUGUGAGUAAUUCGGCAACGAUCCACCUAUAAUUGGUCUUAGAAGAACAUAAAGAUUGCUUAUUAUCUCUCAUCGACCGCUUUUUUACGCGCAUCAGUUCUCUUAAAUCUUUACAGGAUUACAUUAGUUUUGCAACAAAUGUAUGCCGUAAGCUUUCUCUUUCUUCCAACUUUACGAGUCUUCUCUUUCUUCCUUUUUUCCCUAUACUUAAUCCAUUUAACGAUAUUGUAAAAAGAUCGCAUAACACAGCUUUCUGCAAAGAGUUUCGAUAUCUUGCACAAGGAGUGUUCCGCACAAGCUUGCACCAACGCAAGCUUCGUCGAUUAUUUUCAUUUCUUUACGUACCUUUUUGACUAAACUCACGAGUACGCCAAUUCCUCCACGACUAACAGAAGUUCAUCGGUGUAUUCGCGGAAAGCAUCGCAGCUGAUUGCAUGAGAAGCUGCGGAUGUGACAACAAUCCUUUCGUAACUUCCUUUUCUUCUUCACCUUUCGCUUUAUCGACUAGCACCAAAGUCUUACACACUCGGAAGCCAAACAACUUCGGACAUUUUACUAAACAGAAACGACGAUAGAUUCUUCAAAUUACGCUAACGUAGCUUCACAUUUUUUUUUUUUUUACCAUUUUCAAGAUAAUACCAGGUAACAUAUUCAUAAAGUAAUAACAAAACAAUAACAAGAUUAAUCUUUUGCGAUCUGAGUUAGGUUGAAUAAUUUAUUCCAAAAAUUGCUUUAUACCCGGUAAAUUACUUUUGAAGAUUGUUCGCGAUUCGACUGUUUAUACUUUCAUAUUUUUGAUUCAAAUAUUUCCACCGAGCCUCGUGAUCCAGCAGAUUUUAUACGUUAAAAGCAAACGAAAGUAGAGAUCGCAAGGGGUUAAUUGAUUAAAAGUUCGAUCCUUUACAACGCGAUGGUAAAGCUUUACUUCCGAGUGUACGAGUUUGUGUUACCCGUAGUAUAAAUAUGCGAAGCGAGCGCCUAUAUUUAUUUCAGUUAAACAGACUCGCGGUAAUUUUUGCUACAUUUCCCCGAAGCAACGAAUUGAUUUCGCUUUGUAGCGAUUGCACUAGCGUGGCAGGUUAUUAUAGGACACGAGAGAACUAGCUUCGGUUGGUCGGGCAUUUAUUUUAUCUACUCUUCCUCUUCUUCUUUUAUUUUUAUUUUUUUUAUUUUUUUUCGUUUUCGAGGCUUGGUUGAGGGUGUGGACCAAAGGGAGCGGGGUUUUGAAGGGAGUAAAUGAAACAUGUGUUAAAUACGCAUGCCGAACAAUGUACAAAAUACAACUUGUAUAAGUCGAGCGACGUCGGGCAGACUGCCUUCAAACGACGAAGAUACUCCUUGGUGCAAACAUCUGGGUAUCUAUACGUUUCUAUGGCAGUUUUCGGCGAUUCUGUUCACUGGGUUCAUUUGAGUCCUCAGUUUCGCAGGAAAUGCUUUAGAACGUUAUAGCAGUCCACAUUACAUCCUCCCCCAUCCUUUUUUUCCUUAUUUUCUCGACGCAUCGUUUCGAAGUCGUUUGGAGGAUCCACGACAAACGUUUCGAGCGUAUUCUUUUUUAUCCUUGGUCGUACAGUCGUCUACAAUGGGGCCCUUUUUGCACUACUGUCUCUUUUAAAAAUCUCGUUAUUGAAGUAACGGUGGCGUUGAAUCGAAGAUUCGAACGAUAAAAACCCGCUUCUUAUCGUAACGGCACGUCGGUCGUUGUUCUAUACGAGGGUAACAUUGUAUUUGGAAAAAUAAGCUUCUUUACGUACGCAAAUUGUUGCUUGCUUCGUAUUGUACAUUUUUUCGUACAUGUAAACAGACUACUUACGCUUUCCUUCUAUUUUGUCAGUGAUCGAAUAUGUUGUUAUUGUAUUUGGUGUAUAAUUUGGUACAUAUUUUUGAACGCUUUCGUGCAGUGAGAGCUUUUGGUAUUUACUCUGUUUUUUGGUAGUUGUUGUUGCUUAUAAAAAAAAGCAGGCUAUAAAUAAAACUAUUAUAUUUUUCUUCGUAUUUCACCGAUAACUCACAUGUUGAGAAGUAUUUCCAUGUUAUAUCCGAGUCUGGACGUUGUGAAGAGAUACGUAUUUCCGGUUGACGGUUGGAAUUCUUAUUUCUGAUCCAGCUUUUUGUCGACUUUCGUGCGAUAAUAAGAAAAAAGAAAAAGUAUCAUAAAUAUGGUAAACACGGUAACGCAAUCACGGACUACACGGAGUUUUUCUUCUUCUGUUCUUCACGUUCGUCUAUCGAAGUCUGCUUCAUUGGCUAUUUCCUGUUACGAUAACGAUAUAGGAACUGUUACUAUUUCCAAUUUUGUCAUUCCACUACGUUGCGUUCAAAUUACACAUGGAAAAUAUAAUAAAUCACACGAAACAGAAACGUUCAAUUGUAGAAAAACAGAAAAGAAAGAAAUAUAUACGAUAGCCAGUCGACGGAAAGUUCUAGAAAAGGUGCGGUAAUUUUAGUUUAAUCGCAGCAAGAAUAGUAGGAGAUGAAGCGAUCUGACGAUGUCGGUAUUUGACCGGUUGAUCCGUCGGUUUUCCAGGUGAUAGCUGUGAUAUCAAUACUCUUUAUUGUGCUUUCGACGAUCGCACUAACUCUCAACACCAUUCCUAGUAUGCAAGUGAAUGAUGAGAAGGGGAACUUUCAAGACAAUCCGCAGCUCGCCAUGGUGGAGGCUGUGUGCAUCACAUGGUUUACCCUCGAGUACAUGCUUAGGUUCAGUGCCUCGCCGGACAAGUGGAAGUUCUUCAAGGGUGGUCUAAAUGUGAUCGACCUGUUGGCAAUACUGCCGUACUACGUAUCUCUGUUCCUGGUCGAGACGAACAAGAACGCGACCGACCAGUUCCAGGACGUGCGCAGGGUAGUGCAAAUCUUUCGUAUAAUGCGGAUCCUGAGGAUCCUGAAGCUGGCCCGCCACUCGACCGGGCUGCAGAGCCUUGGCUUCACCUUGCGUAACUCGUACAAGGAGCUGGGCCUGCUGAUGCUCUUCCUGGCGAUGGGCGUCCUUAUAUUCUCGAGUCUUGCCUACUUCGCUGAGAAGGAGGAGCCCGGGACCAAAUUCAUAAGCAUUCCAGAAACCUUUUGGUGGGCGGGCAUCACGAUGACCACCGUCGGAUACGGCGACAUCUACCCCACGACCCCGCUCGGCAAGGUGAUCGGCAGUGUGUGUUGUAUAUGUGGUGUCCUGGUAAUCGCGUUGCCCAUUCCCAUUAUCGUUAACAAUUUCGCCGAGUUCUACAAGAACCAGAUGAGACGGGAGAAAGCCCUCAAGAGGCGAGAGGCUCUUGAAAGGGCAAAGAGGGAGGGCAGCAUCGUUUCGUUCCAUCACAUCAACCUGAGGGAUGCCUUCGCCAAAAGCAUGGAUCUCAUCGAUGUCAUCGUCGAUACUGGUCACAAUAUGUCCGGCGUGGAUGGUAACAGCACCGAGGGAGAAUCCGCGUGCGGACGCGGUCCUGCCCAGACCGGGCCAGGCUGUUAUCGUAACUAUGAGCAUUACAGUCUCUCGCGACAUCGGCGCAGCGCCUCGUCCUGCUUCCCAAAUUUGCCUAACGAUCUGCCGACCACACCGGACAGCCCGAACCGUCGUCUCCUGGACUUUGCUCAGAGCGUACCCGGAACUCAGAACGACGAUUACUUUCACGACGAUGUACCAGCCCAGCACGUGAACCAAGGCAAUACCACACCUAGCGAUGAAGAGAAAAAAGACAGCAGAAAAUUCGAGAAAAAUGAUGAAAUACCUAGCGAAUUCGAGUGUUGCUUUUGUACUACGAAGGAAUACAAAGAGUUCAGAGACGCGGAAGAUAUAAUGCCACUGGCGACCAGCGACUUUCGUAAUCCCAUCUGCCAGGAGAUGAAGUCGAUGCGAUCCGGAGGAAUCAUGUCGAUGGAACCGAUCGCGCAUCAGCAGAUCUUCGCCGUGGAAACGAAACCGUCCCCGGCACAACCGGUGGAUGUCCCCAGCUUUGGCAGAACGUACAACGAGCAAGGAAGCGUAGACAGCUCUGAUACGUAUGCCAGCUGUCAAACGCAUCCGUCUCAUUCGCAGGUUUCUUCUGCUGGUCAUUCGGCGGAUAACAAUAAGGGCGAUUUGACCGAAGAAGCAGACAGUAAUCUGUACGUGAAUCCACUGGAAGCUGCGGAGAAGUGUGGAAAUAGAGUGAAAAAGUCCGCUUCCGGUGAAGUCGGACGUAACGUUGGCGACGCGUCACCGAGUGUUGAAUCGUUAAAGGACGUUCGUCCCUUUAACGAUGGUAGCAGGGUUACGUUAAACGACACAGUGCCCAAGCAUAGAAAAAUUCGUAUUCAGCAGAGCGUAAGACCACGCGCGCAAUUUAUCAGCGACCAGGAAAGCAUUGUGGCUCGUAGCAUCACGAAAGAGGAAACCAUGGAGAACAAUUACUAUGGAGGACUACGAGGAGGCAAGCCAUUUACCACGACCAACAGCAGCCUGGCCUCGGCUACGAGAAUUAUACAUCAUCAUUUGUUCGGCUCUGCCAUUGGACCCAGGCAUUACACAGCGCAAUACUUGGAAGCACUGUAUAUGCAGGUCAUCGAAGGCAAAUUUCAGGAACGAACACCGACAGCAAGCUUUCCCUGUCCGCUGAUUCGAUAGACAGCGAGGGCGUGCCUUUCAUAGACAGGCACCGGGUCUCCAAGUCGAUACUCAAGAAGUCCGAGAGCAGCAAUAAUUACUACAGCAACGCCGGUGACUCGGACACCGAGAAGCUUAUCACCGAUAAUGCGUCGACCAUAAGCAUGUGCGACAAUGAGACGAGCACAUGCGACGUUUUCGCCAAUGUGAAUGGAACGAGAUUGAAACAGCCUGGCUCGCCGUUGCUUUCCAGACAGGUUCUCGAGUCGAUCUUCCGCACGAACAAUAACGUCGAGAGGGAGAACGAAGUGGAUCAAAGCGAAGAAAGGAACUGUGUUUCCAAGAUGAGCAGAUCGAUAUUCGACGAGGUCCUCGAAGAAGAGAAGUGCACGCAGGACGAGGCAAUGACAGAGAAUAAGAACAAAGAGGAGCGAAAGAAAUCGAGAACGAGGAUAGAGGAGCCGUCGAAGGAUAGCCAGACGAUGUUGAUAUGCUCAUUACGAUCGCAUAAAACGAAGAAGUUAAGCAUAGAGGAAAAACGAAAGGCCAAAACGGCCAGUCAUAGUUGCAAAGGCACCGACACGAAUUGUCUUCCUCAAGAACAUCGUUUCUCGUCGUAGCGUAAUUCUCCUUUGUGUAGCAUCCUCCGUUCUGUGUCGCGUAUACAUAUGUAGAUACGAAACUGAAUCACUCUGCGAUCACAUCAGUGUUUCUCUUUUAGUAACGCCAUUAACUUCUGUAAUAACAUUCGCACGGUCGUGCAUCUGCGUUUCGAAUACGACGACGACGACGACGUCGACAUCGUAUCGUCGACGAUAUCGACUUGGCCUGUCGUGUAAAUACGUCUAGGGAAAACGCAUAAUAAUCUUAAGAGAGUGAUAUACGUUCGAUAAUAUGAAAAAUAGAGACUAACAUAGAUAAUGUAUAACACGAAGAAAUACAUAUUUUCGAGAAAAAAGAAAGAAAAAAGGAAGGAAAGAGGGGGAGAGAAUACACAAUUUUGAAAAGUAUAUAUAUACGCGUGAAGGGAUAUAAUUGCGCCGAGGAUGGUAUUCAAAUGAUAAAAAAAAAAAAAAGGGAAAAAACGAUUAAAAUAAAAAUAAAAUAUCGAAGAAGAUAAGAUGCCAGUUUGCAUAGAAUUAAAAAAAGAAGCAAGCGAGAAGAUGUUAAUCAAAGCUUAUUAAAUGAUACGAUGAAAACAAGAGAUACAAAAACAAUGAUGAUAAUUCUAAUGAUAAUAGUAAUAAUAACGGUAAUAGUAAUAACGAUAGCAAAUAACAAAUCUUUAGGCCAUACGCUUUUCCCUGUUCGCUGAAGAAAAACGAGAAUUUAAUAAGACAUGUAAUCUACAUAGUCACACGACCCUGUUAUUUCCUCCUUUCGCCUAAUAUGGUUAAAUUGGGGCAGCUUUGCGUGUCGCGCGAACAGUAUAUGCAUUCGAUGACAUAUAGCAAUGAGAAAACACGCAACCGAAUUACAAAUAAUGAUAGUCGGGAGAUUCGUCGUCCUUUUUUUUCUUUUUCUUUUUUUUUUUUUUUUUUUUGAGAAACGAGUCGUUCUCGACUAAACUCCGCUAAAGUCUCUCAGUGUUGUUCGAAAUGACACGAGUGUUCGUUCAUCUGCUGAGUGUCUUAUGCACAAUUAGAUAAUAAUAUAUGGUUGUAAUAUAUAGGAGGCAUUAGAUACACGAUGUGAUAUAUGCCUCGUUGAAAUCAAAACACGAUAUAGUAGGAAAAACGUGGGAACGUAGAUCGUCGGAAAACUCGUUAAUAACUGCCCUUUUUAAAGUUCCGAUUUUCGCGUUUCUUUUCUAUUGAAUCGAUUCUUGAAAGUUUUCUUAUGAUAUCUUUUUAAAGAGAAUAUUAUUGUUAUUUGUAUUUUAAGUACUUUGUGAUAGUAGUUUACAUAAAUCAAUUCACGUGUGUGUAUGUGUAUAUUUGUAUGUAUAUUAGUUAAAAAUAUCUGCAGGGUGUUCUAUUAAUUUUAUCGUGUGGUAUUUUUUUUUAGAAAAUUAUUGUGGAUAUAGAUGUGAAUUUAUUUUUAAAUUUCACGACGUUAAAGACUCCUGUAGAUUGUGAUAUAUGAGACUUCUAAUCUAUUACGUAGUGGAAAGGGUACAAAUUUUGAAGUAGAGCCACCAUGUUUUACUUGAAAGAACAUGUUUUACUCGAAAUAUGAUACUUAAUAAUAACAGGUACUUUAAAAGUCACAGAGAAUAAUGGUAGUUUAAGCAAAGAAGUUAUUGUAUACUAAUUGUAAUAUUAUUUUCUUCGGCAUCCAAAGUAACAUCUAAAAUAAUUUCUAUUAACUUCUGAACUAAACUGUUUAUCGAUAUAAUAAUAAAAAGAACUUUGUUCCUCUGUAAGACAGUGCAGUAUGAAAUUGUUGAGCUUGAAUUAAUAUUAAACUCGACUUUAUGUGUAUCUUAUAACGAAUUUCACUUCUGAUAUGAAUGAAAUUAUCGGAGAAAGCUCAACUCUUUGUAGUUUUUGAAAUAUGCAUUAUUAUUAAAAAUAUUGUUAGUAUACAAACUUGAAAACGUGAUGAAAAUUUGCUCACCGAUGUAUUUAAAACUUCGAUGGCUCGCUGUAUAAAUACUGUAUGUCCAAAAAUAAUAUUUUGUUUAUUGUAUUUAGUGUAUGUAGAGAUAUGUUCAAGAUGCACCCCUGUCAUUUUAUGUUCCUAAAAAUGAUCAAUGCCCAAUUUGCAAUCGAUCUUGCAAUAGCAUCGAUAAGGAUAAAUACGAUGCAAAGAGUACUUAUUUAAUGAGUGCCAUUAUAAAGUGCCAUUGAAUUUUUAAAAUUGGUUUUCUCGAAUACGCUAAAAAUGAACAAACGAUAUUUAUGCAGUAAACCAUCAAUUCUAAUCCUGCUUUCUACCUACUUCUCCCUUGAGUUCUCGUUUCUACUGCGUAGAGUAUACACCAAGACCUCCUUAUUCAAUGAAAUUGAAAAAGGAAAAUACUCGUUUAAAGAACGUACAGUUUCUAGUAAUAGUAUAAUUAGAAGAUAACAUGUAACCCGAAGUUACUGGAACAUCCUGCGAUACAUUUGAAAAUAAAUCCACUUGCAUCGAGGUUCAACCGAAGUUUUCCUAUGUUCAUUCUCGUUUAAAUGACACGGAACUUCACUUCCAAAGAGUUGUAUCUACCUGACCACGUUUUCCACGUAGAACACACACACACACACACACACACACAUAUAUAAGUAUAUACUUUAUAUAACGCAAAUAUCGCAGUGGAACCAGAAGCGCUUACGUGCACGACCAUGAGUUCAGUUCGGUCGUUUUUAAGAGUUGAAGAAAAAGUGUACUUUUCGCGUAUGUUAUAGAUGUUAAAUCAAAAAUGAAAAAAAGAAAUAAAAAUGAUGAAACGUGUUAACAUGCUCAUGUAGAGAAUAGCCAGAGCGCAAGUAUCGUCUGUGUUAUAUCCAGGUACCGAUGUCUAGCCGCGGUAACAAUCAAAGUUUUCCAAGAAACUUUUACACCAUCGUCAUCGAACGCGACGAAAAGAAAUUUUAAAUCGAUUGUCUUCGCCGAAAAAUGAAGAACAUCAUGUAACAUUGCAACGCGCAUUAUGUACGAAUGUAAUUACGACGCGUGCUCAAAAAGUUCGAUCGCCUCUUUUUUCCUACUAAUGGUGAUCGUUCUCUUUUUUGUUGCCUUUCGUUCUAACAAGGAGAAGCGAAAUAAGUAAGAAAUCUUCCGUUCGUAUCUCGCUGUAAUUUAGUCAAAGUAACAAAGACGCGUUCUCGCCUUCAAAAAAAAAAAAAAAAAAAAAAAGGACGCCUCUGUUUCGCUAUAAUUAGCGAUCGUUCCGAUCUUUAUUUUCUUUUUUUUUUUUUUUCGUUUAUGCUUCCUUUAAUUUUAAUCGGGAGAAGCGAGACAAGUAAGAAAUCUCCCGUUCGAAUCUCGCUGUAAUUUGGUCAAAGAAAGAAAGACGUUCUCUCUUAGAUUUUUAGACGAGCCGUCAGUAAAAAUACAUAUCUCUGUAAUGGCAUUUCUAUUCAUUGUUAUCGUAGAUGUAGGGAAACAAAGUAAUUGUACAGUUGCAAAUUAACGAGGAGGAAAUGGAAAAAAGAAAAGAAUGGUUAAUAUUCCCCAUAGACGCGUCUAUUUGGGGAUCUUUGUUAUGCCGAUGGUCCGAAGUUCACGCCUCGACUAUUUUUUAAUAUAUUUGUAAUUGUUUUCGAAUACGUAUAUGAAGAUGCUUCUCAUGAAAGAAGCAUUUCAAAGCAUCCGAAUAGAUCCAUCUGAUUUCACAUUUUUUCACGUGAAACUUUCGUCUUCGUUAAGAAAUAACGUAAGCUAUUCGAACCGUGAUCCUUAGCGAUAAUAACUUGUAUUACGCGAUGAUCGUUGUACGUGUAAUACGUAAUACAUUUACCGUUCCACAUUGUUACCGCGAUAUAUUUAUUUAUGAGAGAGAGAGAGAGAGAGAGAGAGAAAGAUAUGAUCAUCGUAUCCGACUUUAAGGGAUUUCUCGUUUUUUCUAAGAAUUGCAAACAAACUUGUUUUAUGUACUUGUUAUUCGAAGUUGGAUCUCGAUACCUUGUAAUCGCUUGGAGUUUCUGAGUAAAUCAAUGUCUUCUGUGAAUUAACAUAGCUGGAAGUAGAAAGUUCCUAGGAAAGGUGUACAGAACGUGGAUUUAUUAUUUAUUGUUGUAAUUAUAUCUUAGAAGAAUUAGCAUCGACAUAGUACAAAAGGGAAGGCCACACCAUAGACACGCGUGGCAACGAGACAAGUUGACCAGAUUACAAAAAAGAGAAAAAGAAAAAAAAAAGAUAGUAUGAAAGAGACUUGAAACGGCUGCACAGUUGCGUAGAUCUUGAGCGAUAUACGAGAGCAGUACGGCGAGAAAAAGACAUUUUUCUUUUCUCCGUUUUUCAUUUUUCGUUUCACGUUUCGAAAUUUGUAAUACUUCGUAUUAAGGCUUAAUUUAAUGGAAUAAGUCUGACGACCGAGGCGUAACGCUUUCGCAAAUUGAUAUAAGAUAUUGUAAAACGUAAACAAUGCAAGAUAACUUUUUAUCCACUUUUUUAUCGAAUAAUCGAGGAAUUAUAAAGAUUCGAUUAAUAUAUAUUUACAAGAGGAUAAUAUCGAAAUUUCAGACGUUUCCUAAAUCGAUAAACAAUUUUUCGUCUACGCCUCAAGCCACAAUAUCGACAGAUUAAAGUGUCUGUCUAUUCGAUCCAUGAAACAGCUAACGAUACCAAUUGUACAGCACAUAACAGUCAAUUCUCAAUUAUACAAUGCAGUUAUAUGAAAAAUCCUUUAUCAUAAUAUCGACCUAAACAUCGACGAGCGCAAAGUUAAUCGGAUUUAGUCGAUUGGUCACGUACAUUCUUUUAUUUUCGAAUCUCUAAGGCCUAGAGUCGCGUAGCUAUAAGGCGAGUAGUAUGUAACAAAAUGAAUAAAGUUGUAAUUUGCCAGUUUUUGUUCCUUA
This is an RNA transcript of Bombus impatiens (common eastern bumble bee), 12506 nucleotides long. RefSeq lists it as uncharacterized. The transcript is spliced from 9 exons. NCBI's taxonomy places the organism in Eukaryota, Metazoa, Arthropoda, Insecta, Hymenoptera, Apidae. The record is from RefSeq and is a predicted model, not a curated record.